CAGCAGCCGCGGUAAUACGUAGGUGGCAAGCGUUGUCCGGAAUUAUUGGGCGUAAAGGGCUCGCAGGCGGUUUCUUAAGUCUGAUGUGAAAGCCCCCGGCUCAACCGGGGAGGGUCAUUGGAAACUGGGAAACUUGAGUGCAGAAGAGGAGAGUGGAAUUCCACGUGUAGCGGUGAAAUGCGUAGAGAUGUGGAGGAACACCAGUGGCGAAGGCGACUCUCUGGUCUGUAACUGACGCUGAGAAGCGAAAGCGUGGGGAGCGAACAGGAUUAGAUACCCCCGUAGUCCCUGUCUCUUAUAC
RNAcentral lists this ribosomal RNA (301 nucleotides) under uncultured bacterium. RNAcentral's name for it is "partial 16S ribosomal RNA". It matches the Rfam family "Bacterial small subunit ribosomal RNA", at positions 509 to 807 of the family's 1533-position model. The record is from RNAcentral.